UACGAAGGGGGCUAGCGUUGCUCGGAAUGACUGGGCGUAAAGGGCGCGUAGGCGGCUCAUAGAGUCGGGCGUGAAAUUCCCGGGCUUAACCUGGGGGCUGCAUUUGAUACGUGUGAUCUGGAGUGAGGAAGAGGGUCGUGGAAUUCCCAGUGUAGAGGUGAAAUUCGUAGAUAUUGGGAAGAACACCGGUGGCGAAGGCGGCGACCUGGUCCUUGACUGACGCUGAGGCGCGAAAGCGUGGGGAGCAAACAGG
This 253-nucleotide ribosomal RNA is filed under the name uncultured prokaryote. RNAcentral's name for it is "partial 16S ribosomal RNA". It matches the Rfam family "Bacterial small subunit ribosomal RNA", at positions 524 to 776 of the family's 1533-position model. The record is from RNAcentral.